UUCUCUGAAGUUUUCGGAUGGAAGAGAGUUCAGCUUAGUGGCGAACGGGUGAGUAACACGUGAGCAACCUGCCUUUCAGUGGGGGACAACAUUUGGAAACGAAUGCUAAUACCGCAUAAGACCACAGUGUCGCAUGGCACAGGGGUCAAAGGAUUUAUCCGCUGAAAGAUGGGCUCGCGUCCGAUUAGCUAGAUGGUGAGGUAACGGCCCACCAUGGCGACGAUCGGUAGCCGGACUGAGAGGUUGAACGGCCACAUUGGGACUGAGACACGGCCCAGACUCCUACGGGAGGCAGCAGUGGGGAAUAUUGCACAAUGGGGGAAACCCUGAUGCAGCGACGCCGCGUGGAGGAAGAAGGUCUUCGGAUUGUAAACUCCUGUCCCAGGGGACGAUAAUGACGGUACCCUGGGAGGAAGCACCGGCUAACUACGUGCCAGCAGCCGCGGUAAAACGUAGGGUGCAAGCGUUGUCCGGAAUUACUGGGUGUAAAGGGAGCGCAGGCGGAUUGGCAAGUUGGGAGUGAAAUCUAUGGGCUCAACCCAUAAAUUGCUUUCAAAACUGUCAGUCUUGAGUGGUGUAGAGGUAGGCGGAAUUCCCGGUGUAGCGGUGGAAUGCGUAGAUAUCGGGAGGAACACCAGUGGCGAAGGCG
RNAcentral lists this ribosomal RNA (649 nucleotides) under uncultured Lachnospiraceae bacterium. Its description in RNAcentral is "bacterial SSU rRNA". It matches the Rfam family "Bacterial small subunit ribosomal RNA", at positions 70 to 723 of the family's 1533-position model. The record is from RNAcentral. Lineage: Bacteria; Bacillati; Bacillota; Clostridia; Lachnospirales; Lachnospiraceae.